AGGACGAACGCUGGCGGCGUGCUUAACACAUGCAAGUCGAGCGGAAAGGCCCUUCGGGGUACUCGAGCGGCGAACGGGUGAGUAACACGUGAGUAAUCUGCCCCUAGCUCUGGGAUAGCUCCGGGAAACCGGGAUUAAUACCGGAUACGACCACUUUAGACAUCUGUUGUGGUGGAAAGAAUUUUGGCUAGGGAUGAGCUCGCGGCCUAUCAGCUUGUUGGUGGGGUAAUGGCCUACCAAGGCGACGACGGGUAGCCGGCCUGAGAGGGCGACCGGCCACACUGGGACUGAGACACGGCCCAGACUCCUACGGGAGGCAGCAGUGGGGAAUAUUGCGCAAUGGGCGAAAGCCUGACGCAGCGACGCCGCGUGGGGGAUGAAGGCCUUCGGGUUGUAAACCCCUUUCAGCAGGGACGAAGCGAAAGUGACGGUACCUGCAGAAGAAGCGCCGGCUAACUACGUGCCAGCAGCCGC
This 474-nucleotide ribosomal RNA is filed under the name uncultured bacterium. Its description in RNAcentral is "SSU rRNA". It matches the Rfam family "Bacterial small subunit ribosomal RNA", at positions 26 to 518 of the family's 1533-position model. The record is from RNAcentral.